Molecule: ribosomal RNA, 481 nt
Filed under: uncultured bacterium
Lineage: Bacteria
Description: partial 16S ribosomal RNA
Rfam family: Bacterial small subunit ribosomal RNA
Source: RNAcentral
GAUGAACGCUGGCGGCGUGCCUAACACAUGCAAGUCGAGCGAAGCGCUUAAAUUAGAUUUCUUCGGAAUGACGAUUUUUGUGACUGAGCGGCGGACGGGUGAGUAACGCGUGGGUAACCUGCCUCAUACAGGGGGAUAACAGUUAGAAAUGACUGCUAAUACCGCAUAAGACCCCAGCUUCGCAUGACGCGGUGGUAAAAACUCCGGUGGUAUGAGAUGGACCGGCGUCUGAUUAGCUAGUUGGUAAGGUAACGGCUUACCAAGGCGACGAUCAGUAGCCGACCUGAGAGGGUGACCGGCCACAUUGAGACUGAGACACGGCCCAGACUCCUACGGGAGGCAGCAGUGGGGAAUAUUGCACAAUGGGGGAAACCCUGAUGCAGCGACGCCGCGUGAAGGAUGAAGUAUUUCGGUAUGUAAACUUCUAUCAGCAGGGAAGAAAGUGACGGUACCUGACUAAGAAGCCCCGGCUAACUACGUG